AUUGCAAGAUGAAAUAAAUUUUUUUGGAGUUAAAAAUAGGGAGGGGGGUCAGGAUUUUAUGACGUCCUUUUCCAAGGGGUAUAGGGAAUAAGGACAACUGGUGACAAAGGAGGGGGGAGGAGGUCAAAAAUUGGCUAAAAAUAAUGACGUCCUUUAUGGAUGGCCCCUAAACUGCUGCAACUUGACUAUGUGCCAUUCUGCAAAAGUGUAAAGUUUCUCUUUCUCAUCUUAUUUCAUUUAUUAGUUCCUAAUGUAAUAUAACCUUUUAAUCCAAAAGAAGAUUUUUUUAUAAUCUGUCUACCAAUAAAAGUUUAUAAGUAUAUACAAGUUGUUCCCAGAUUUGUAUUUAUUUUUAUUUAGAAGAUACAACUUUGCUUGCAUUUAAGGCACUCCUUUUUCUUCUGAUAGCGCCUCCACAGAAGGGCAAGAAGAGUCCAAGAAUGGAUCUUGAUGCAAUUUUGGCUUUAUUUUAUAGAGAAAUGGAUGUACACCUCAGUCUUGAAAGCUCCCUUGAUUUAUUGAAGAAGGAGAAAGUUUUUCAACCGAUUUUAUUCAAGUGUUGCGGCACUCUAUUUAUAAUUCUAAUUAUAACUCUAAUUAUAAGUUGAUAAUACAGCUAUACGGUUGGAAGCCAUACCGAG
Non-coding RNA from Hydra vulgaris (swiftwater hydra), 641 nucleotides. NCBI's taxonomy places the organism in Eukaryota, Metazoa, Cnidaria, Hydrozoa, Anthoathecata, Hydridae. The record is from RefSeq and is a predicted model, not a curated record.